Molecule: long non-coding RNA, 723 nt
Organism: Physella acuta
Lineage: Eukaryota; Metazoa; Mollusca; Gastropoda; Physidae
Source: RefSeq, a predicted model, not a curated record
AGUUACUGUAGUGGCUCACGUACAGAGUACUCGAACAACUUCCUUAGGAAAAAUCCAAAAUGGUGUUCGGCCAAGCAUCCCGUGUUCUUGUGAGGAGAUUUACAACCUCAGCAGCCAGAAGAAGUCAAGAAUGGCAGCAAGAAGGCGUACCGGGAUCUAACCUGCCAUUUAACAUCCACAACAAGACAAAAUUGACCCUGUACUUCAUACUGUUCUUUGGUAGUGGUUUGACUGCACCUUUCAUUCUCCUUCGAAGACAUUUACUUAUUCAGUACUCAAAGUAACUGAUCAUAAAUUAUAUGGAAUGUGUGCUUAGAGAACGUUUUGGAAUGAAGUGCUUACUUUCAAAAGUAGAACAUCAUACAGAAGAAACAUCAGCUGUGGAUUUGGAAUGAUGCUCUUCAACUUCUUUACAAAAUAUACAUGAAAUUUUGAAUUUUUUUACAACUGCCCUAAUGCAAGUGUACGUCAAACUAGUUUACACCUGUAUACAAAUUAUACAUGAACUUUAGAAAUCAUUUAACUUUACUGAAGCAAGAUGUUUUUUAAAUUAGUAUACAAAGCAAAAUGGGAUUAUUGUAGUAAUUUGGAAAAUCAUUAGCUGGAUUUGGUGUGCAGUACUUUGAAAGUUGUUACUUGUAAUUUGUUUUCCAUAAUUAUGUAGUCUUACCUCAUAUUUGAAAUAUGGUGGCACUUGAUGUAAUAAAUACCUUUGAUAAAAUG